RNAcentral lists this ribosomal RNA (459 nucleotides) under uncultured bacterium. RNAcentral describes it as "SSU rRNA". It matches the Rfam family "Bacterial small subunit ribosomal RNA", at positions 26 to 518 of the family's 1533-position model. The record is from RNAcentral.
AGAAUCAACGCUGGCGGCGUGCCUAACACAUGCAAGUCGAACGAGAAAGUGGAGCAAUCCAUGAGUAAAGUGGCGCACGGGUGAGUAACACGUGACUACCUACCCUUGAGUGGGGGAUAACCUAGGGAAACCUGGGCUAAUACCGCAUAACACCUUCGGGUCAAAGGAGCAAUUCGCUUAAGGAGGGGGUCGCGGCCGAUUAGUUAGUUGGCGGGGUAAUGGCCCACCAAGACGAUGAUCGGUAUCCGGCCUGAGAGGGCGCACGGACACACUGGAACUGAAACACGGUCCAGACUCCUACGGGAGGCAGCAGUGGGGAAUUUUGCGCAAUGGGGGAAACCCUGACGCAGCAACGCCGCGUGGAGGAUGAAGUCCCUUGGGACGUAAACUCCUUUCGAUCGGGACGAUUAUGACGGUACCGGAAGAAGAAGCCCCGGCUAACUUCGCGCCAGCAGCCGC